AUGGGCAUCUUUGACGAGUUCUACAUUGGGUCCAUUGACCUCGGGCGCCUCAACUACGGGACGAUUUCGCUUAUCCCCAAGGUUCCUGGGGCGUCUGACAUCCGUCAGUUUGGCCCGAUCACGGUGAUAAAUGUGAUCUUCCGGAUUCUGGCAAAAGGGUACGCCAAUAGGGUGACCCUGCUCGCGGAUCAGAUUACCCACCCCAACCAAUCUGCCUUCAUCCAAGGCCAAUAUAUUCUGGAUGGGGUGCUAGUCCUUCACGAAGUCCUCCACGAGGUCCACUCCAAACACCUCAAGGCGGUCUUCCUGAAGAUCGAUUUCCACAAGGCCUAUGACACUGUUAGCUGGCCCUUCCUUCGGGAAGUUCUACUUCGGAAAGGCUUCGAUGACCGUUGCAUCACCAGGGUAAUGUAG
RNAcentral lists this ribosomal RNA (414 nucleotides) under Triticum aestivum (bread wheat). RNAcentral describes it as "partial small subunit ribosomal RNA". Lineage: Eukaryota; Viridiplantae; Streptophyta; Magnoliopsida; Poales; Poaceae. The record is from RNAcentral.